UACGUAGGGAGCAAGCGUUGUCCGGAAUCAUUGGGCGUAAAGCGCGCGUAGGUGGCCCCAUAAGUCCGCUGUGAAAGUCAAAGGCUCAACCUUUGAAAGCCGGUGGAUACUGUGGGACUAGAGUACGGAAGAGGCGAGUGGAAUUCCUGGUGUAGCGGUGAAAUGCGCAGAUAUCGGGAAGAACACCCGUGGCGAAGGCGGCUCUCUGGGACGGUACUGACGCUGAGACGCGAAAGCGUGGGGAGCAAACAGG
RNAcentral lists this ribosomal RNA (253 nucleotides) under uncultured bacterium. RNAcentral's name for it is "partial 16S ribosomal RNA". It matches the Rfam family "Bacterial small subunit ribosomal RNA", at positions 524 to 776 of the family's 1533-position model. The record is from RNAcentral.